GAUGAACGCUAGCUACAGGCUUAACACAUGCAAGUCGAGGGGAAACGACAUUGAAGCUUGCUUCGAUGGUCGUCGACCGGCGCACGGGUGAGUAACGCGUAUCCAACCUGCCUCUGACCAAGGGAUAACCCGUCGAAAGUCGGCCUAAUACCUUAUGCAGUCGUCGGAAGUCAUCUGAUGACGACGAAAGAUUUCAUCGGUGAGAGAUGGGGAUGCGUCUGAUUAGCUUGUUGGCGGGGUAACGGCCCACCAAGGCAACGAUCAGUAGGGGUUCUGAGAGGAAGGUCCCCCACAUUGGAACUGAGACACGGUCCAAACUCCUACGGGAGGCAGCAGUGAGGAAUAUUGGUCAAUGGGCGAGAGCCUGAACCAGCCAAGUAGCGUGCAGGAUGACGGCCCUAUGGGUUGUAAACUGCUUUUAUGCGGGGAUAAAGUGUGGGACGUGUCCUUCAUUGCAGGUACCGCAUGAAUAAGGACCGGCUAAUUCCGUG
This 491-nucleotide ribosomal RNA is filed under the name uncultured bacterium. Its description in RNAcentral is "partial 16S ribosomal RNA". It matches the Rfam family "Bacterial small subunit ribosomal RNA", at positions 28 to 507 of the family's 1533-position model. The record is from RNAcentral.